Molecule: ribosomal RNA, 311 nt
Filed under: uncultured Pseudomonadota bacterium
Lineage: Bacteria; Pseudomonadati; Pseudomonadota
Description: bacterial SSU rRNA
Rfam family: Bacterial small subunit ribosomal RNA
Source: RNAcentral
AACGAACGCUGGCGGCAUGCCUAACACAUGCAAGUCGAACGGACCCUUCGGGGUGAGUGGCGGACGGGUGAGUAACGCGUAGGAACCUGCCUUGUAGUGGGGAAUAACAGCUGGAAACGGCUGCUAAUACCGCAUACGCCCUCCCGGUGUAAGAGCCUGGAGGGGAAAGAUUUAUCGCUAUGAGAGGGUCCUGCGUUCGAUUAGCUUGUUGGCGGGGUAACGGCCCACCAAGGCGACGAUCGAUAGCUGGUCUGAGAGGAUGAUCAGCCACACUGGGACUGAGACACGGCCCAGACUCCUACGGGUGGCUG